This 463-nucleotide ribosomal RNA is filed under the name Labium sp. CNC 422389. RNAcentral describes it as "partial 28S ribosomal RNA". Lineage: Eukaryota; Metazoa; Arthropoda; Insecta; Hymenoptera; Ichneumonidae. The record is from RNAcentral.
CCUGCGAAACCCAAAAGAUCGAACGGGGAGAUUCAUCGUCAGCGAUCCUGGUAUCUGUACGGUUCGCGAUGCCGGGGACUUCGGUCUCUCGGCACGCGUCCGUAUGUUUUUCAUGACCGGGUAUUGUCGGCGUGCACUUCUCCCCUAGUAGGACGUCGCGACCCGUUGGGUGUCGGUCUACGGCCCGGGUGGGCGCCUGCCCUGCGUUCGCCUCGCGGCGUUACGCGGGUCAGACCCCCGGUUGCCCGACCGGCUGCUUCCCGGCGGUACUCGCACGGUAUCGAGUCGCAGACAUUAGAACUGCGUCCGGCCCGCCGCAAGCGAGACCAGUGAUAAACCCGGAUGUACGGAUCUAACGCCGUCGCCGGGCCUGGUCGGCUGUUGGUUGGCGGUGUCCUCGGACUGGCUCAAACAUAAAUUGUGAUACCGGUCGGCGACGCUACUGCUUUGGGUACUCUCAGGA